GGAUGCUAGGGUGAUCUGCCCAUGACAUCUGUCACCCACUGACACAUAGGGUGAUGCAGCUGAUCUGGCUGCCUAGGCAGGUGUCCCCUUCUUUCCUCACCACUCCACAUAUGUCCCUCCAGAAGCUGUGUGCUCUAUUGAAGAGGAUAAUCGAUAGAGUAGAACUGCUUCCUCAGACAAGAGGAGAGGAGCAGCUGCACUAUCUUGCUAGGGCCUCCAAAUAAGCUCUCAGGAAAGAUGAUGAAUGAAGAAAAACAGGAAGUAAAAAAAUUUGCUUUCUCCUCAUUAUCAAGGCCUAUGCAUUUGACCAGUCACUUUCAUGA
This 323-nucleotide small nuclear RNA is filed under the name Octodon degus (degu). RNAcentral describes it as "7SK RNA (ENSODEG00000024298.1)". It matches the Rfam family "7SK RNA". From Rfam's summary of the family: 7SK was discovered as an abundant small nuclear RNA in the mid-70s but a possible function has only recently been suggested. Two independent studies have found that 7SK RNA binds the CDK9/cyclin T complex (known as elongation factor P-TEFb). The record is from Rfam by way of RNAcentral. Lineage: Eukaryota; Metazoa; Chordata; Mammalia; Rodentia; Octodontidae.